CACAAACAGAUCAGCCAUUACACUUCAACUCACACUCACCACAAACACCUUCAUGAACUCACAUCUACAUUAAACACAUACCAUAUGAGAUGUGGGACGCAGGUCUUGGUCCAAAAACCCUGAGUCUGGUUUAUCUCUGACCCGCUGGUCCACAUCAGACUCUUCUCCAUCAUAGAACCAUGUCUCAAACUCUGCUGUUUUCAGUGUUUGUCGUGUGACUGAUGUGGAUUCAGCAGAAUGGAUCAGUGUGGGGACAGAGAGGAGGGAGCCCCUCCCCCAAAGACCACCAACAGGAUCCCCCCGGGACCUGGACUGGACAGACCCCCUAAAGCUCAGAGACCUGGACCAGGACCUGGAAAAGGACCCAGCUGUGUGUCCAUGAAGAGUACUGACUCCAAACACUGGCCAAUUUACUUCCAACAGGAUGGUUCAUCAGAGCCAGCAUAGGAUCCAUUAGAGACCACAGUCCUCUGGACCUGAUCCUGGACCCAGUUGUGUGUCCUUCAGGAGUGACCGGUCCAUGAUUUUACCACCGGCCUUUUCCACAGAGACGUAAGUUUGAUGUAAAUGUUCAAUGUGUCGACUGUUUAUUA
This 593-nucleotide long non-coding RNA is filed under the name Sphaeramia orbicularis (orbiculate cardinalfish). Its description in RNAcentral is "lncRNA (ENSSORG00005014885.1)". Lineage: Eukaryota; Metazoa; Chordata; Actinopteri; Kurtiformes; Apogonidae. The record is from RNAcentral.